This is a non-coding RNA of Acanthosepion pharaonis, 111 nucleotides long. NCBI's taxonomy places the organism in Eukaryota, Metazoa, Mollusca, Cephalopoda, Sepiida, Sepiidae. The record is from the annotation of a GenBank genome assembly.
UUACGGCCAUAUCACGAUGAAACACCGGUUCCCGUACGACCACCGAAGUUAAGCAAUAUCGAGCCUGGCCAGUAUAGGUACUGGACCGCUUGGGAAUACAAAGUGCUGUAA